UUUAUUGGAGAGUUUGAUCCUGGCUCAGGAUGAACGCUGGCCAUAAUGCAAGUCGAGCGAAUGGAUUGAGAGCUUGCUCUCAAGAAGUU
Molecule: ribosomal RNA, 89 nt
Filed under: Bacillus toyonensis biovar Thuringiensis
Lineage: Bacteria; Bacillati; Bacillota; Bacilli; Caryophanales; Bacillaceae
Description: partial 16S ribosomal RNA
Source: RNAcentral